RNAcentral lists this ribosomal RNA (497 nucleotides) under uncultured bacterium. Its description in RNAcentral is "partial 16S ribosomal RNA". It matches the Rfam family "Bacterial small subunit ribosomal RNA", at positions 28 to 507 of the family's 1533-position model. The record is from RNAcentral.
GAUGAACGCUGGCGGCGUGCCUAAUACAUGCAAGUCGAGCGGACAGACGAGGAGCUUGCUCCUCUGACGUUAGCGGCGGACGGGUGAGUAACACGUGGAUAACCUACCUAUAAGACUGGGAUCACUUCGGGAAACCGGAGCUAAUCCCGGAUAAUAUAUUGAACCGCAUGGUUCAAUAGUGAAAGACGGUUUUGCUGUCUCUUAUAGAUGGAUCCGCGCCGCAUUAGCUAGUUGGUAAGGUAACGGCUUACCAAGGCAACGAUGCGUAGCCGACCUGAGAGGGUGAUCGGCCACACUGGAACUGAGACGCGGUCCAGACUCCUACGGGAGGCAGCAGUAUGGAAUCUUCCGCAAUGGGCGAAAGCCUGACGGAGCAACGCCGCGUGAGUUAUGAAGGUCUUCGGUUCGUAAAACUCUGUUAUGAGGUAAGAACAAAUGUGUAAGUAACUAUGCACGGCGUGACGGUACCUAAUCAGAAAGCCACGGCUAACUACGUG